Molecule: ribosomal RNA, 447 nt
Filed under: uncultured soil bacterium
Lineage: Bacteria
Description: bacterial SSU rRNA
Rfam family: Bacterial small subunit ribosomal RNA
Source: RNAcentral
AGAACGAACGCUGGCGGCAUGCCUAAUACAUGCAAGUCGAACGAACACUUCGGUGUUAGUGGCGCACGGGUGCGUAACGCGUGGGAAUCUGCCCUUGGGUUCGGAAUAACAGUUGGAAACGACUGCUAAUACCGGAUGAUAUCGAAAGAUCAAAGAUUUAUCGCCCAGGGAUGAGCCCGCGUAGGAUUAGCUAGUUGGUGAGGUAAAGGCUCACCAAGGCGACGAUCCUUAGCUGGUCUGAGAGGAUGAUCAGCCACACUGGGACUGAGACACGGCCCAGACUCCUACGGGAGGCAGCAGUAGGGAAUAUUGGACAAUGGGCGAAAGCCUGAUCCAGCAAUGCCGCGUGAGUGAUGAAGGCCUUAGGGUUGUAAAGCUCUUUACCCGAGAUGAUAAUGACAGUAUCGGAGAAUAAGCCCCGGUCUAAACUCCGUGCCCAGCAGCCGC